UCAACAUUUAUAAUGUCAUAUGCAAUAGUUUUAAGCCAUAAGCGACAUACAUAAAUGUAACUAACACUGUAGUUACUAAAACAAAUCUUAAUUAUCAUCAUUUUGACUAUCUACAUCAGGUCCCUGAGAAUCUCGGACUGAAUUAGCCUGAAUGAACCUGGCAAUUUGAUAUUCCAUCACUUCCAUCCGCUCAUUCAUCUCUAUCAGUUGUACUUCAGCUGCUCAUUUUCUUCAUUGACAACGGUUGAAGUGCAAGGCAUAAUUUCAGACUGAUAGAAGUUGCUUGUGAUGAACCAACUCCAUAUACCCUGUUCAAUUGUCUGGACCUCCAACUGCAUUAAGAAAUAAUGCAUUUCUAUCCAUAGGCUGACCAGAAGUAUUCUGCUGCUCGCAAAGAUUCACAAAGGUUUCCUAAACAUAGCUACAGUACGAGUCAAACUUGAUGAUCAGUUAACUAUAGAUCAGCCGAUAAAAAAAAGUAUACUAGGUUGCACAUUAUUAUCAUCAACCAAGCCAUUCUCAUCAUAAAACCAAUACGGUGUGUGCUAUCCUCU
This 554-nucleotide long non-coding RNA is filed under the name Daucus carota (carrot). RNAcentral describes it as "long non-coding RNA (DCAR_LNC001054)". The record is from RNAcentral. Lineage: Eukaryota; Viridiplantae; Streptophyta; Magnoliopsida; Apiales; Apiaceae.